Leptopilina boulardi is the source of this 534-nucleotide long non-coding RNA. RefSeq lists it as uncharacterized. NCBI's taxonomy places the organism in Eukaryota, Metazoa, Arthropoda, Insecta, Hymenoptera, Figitidae. The transcript has 4 exons. The record is from RefSeq and is a predicted model, not a curated record.
GGAAAUAUUGGCUUACAGUAGAAAUACACUCGGUCUUCUUGUAUAGGGUUAUGAUUGCCGAUCUUUUCUGAAUAGAAAAUUUAUUGGCGAUCAUGAUCUAGAGAAGGGAUCUCCGAGAGUUAAUCUGCUGUUUGUUAAUUUUCCUGAAAGGCAUUCUAUGGGAGGCGAACAUUUUCAAUAAUGUUCCUGCCUGUGAUAAACCGAUAUACCAAUUUUGAUGUAUCUGGUGCGGAAAUUAGCAUUCAGUUGGUGUAUUUUCGGUCUUUUUGUAAGGUUAUGUUUGCCGAUUUUUUGGAAUUCAUAAUCUAGAGAAGGGAUCUCCGAAAGUUAACCUAUGCUGUUUGCUAAUUUCCCUGUUCUAAUUAUCAUUUUUUGGAGAAAAAAAACAUCUUUAAUAAUGUGGCGGAAGAAGACAAUAUUUUUUUUUUCUUUUCAAAGAUUAGAAUCAGUGCGCGAAUUAAAAAUUUCAAUUUCAAAUGAUAGACUUUGAAGAGUGGAAGGAAUCCCAUCAUGCAUCGUCAACUUCAAAUUGAG